This 480-nucleotide ribosomal RNA is filed under the name uncultured bacterium. RNAcentral's name for it is "partial 16S ribosomal RNA". It matches the Rfam family "Bacterial small subunit ribosomal RNA", at positions 28 to 507 of the family's 1533-position model. The record is from RNAcentral.
GACGAACGCUGGCGGCGCGCCUAACACAUGCAAGUCGAGCGAUGAAAUUUUAACCGAUCUCUUCGGAGAGAAGAUAAAAUGGAUUAGCGGCGGACGGGUGAGUAACACGUGAGAAACCUGCCUUUCACAAGGGGAUAGCCUCGGGAAACCGGGAUUAAUACCCUAUGACACAUUUCCUUCGCAUGGAAGAAAUGUUAAAACUCCGGUGGUGAAAGAUGGUCUCGCGCCUGAUUAGCUAGUUGGUGGGGUAACGGCCCACCAAGGCCAUGAUCAGUAACCGGGCGGGGAGGGGGAAAGGUCACAUUGGAACUAAGACACGGUCCAAACUCCUACGGGGAGGAGCAGUGGGGAAUAUUGCACAAUGGAGGAAACUCUGAUGCAGCGACGCCGCGUGAGCGAUGAAGGCUUUCGAGUCGUAAAGCUCUGUCCUAUGGGAAGAUAAUGACGGUACCAUAGGAGGAAGCCCCGGCUAACUACGUG